GGGGCCGCCAUGGUUUCGACGUAAUUCAAGAAGGAGAGCAGGGCAUGCCGAGGUCCGAUUACCUCGUUAAUACACUCGGAAAAAAAUAAACGCCAACGACGAGCGUUUCGCACUCGCAGCUUAAAUUGCACGCGAGCGCUGCACUAGCACUCUGAUGGGCUAGGUGAUUUACAUCACAGCAGUGUCAUUUACAUCAGAUCGAUGUUUAUGAGUUCGUGGCAUUAACAUCUAAAUUUUAGCGAAUCGUCGCAGACAAGUUCGUUUAACUACUUAACCUGCGAUUAAAACAUAAUGUUAAACUAAGCAUGUAGAUCUGUCUUUGGAAGUGUUGCGGACGCGGGUUCGAUUCCCGCCGGCUCCACCA
Molecule: transfer-messenger RNA, 364 nt
Filed under: Burkholderiaceae bacterium
Lineage: Bacteria; Pseudomonadati; Pseudomonadota; Betaproteobacteria; Burkholderiales; Burkholderiaceae
Rfam family: transfer-messenger RNA
About the family: Bacterial tmRNA, also known as 10Sa RNA or SsrA, is named for its dual tRNA and mRNA-like properties. Its role is to liberate the mRNA from a stalled ribosome. To accomplish this part of the tmRNA is used as a reading frame that ends in a translation stop signal.
Source: RNAcentral